This 984-nucleotide ribosomal RNA is filed under the name Prevotella intermedia. RNAcentral describes it as "bacterial SSU rRNA". It matches the Rfam family "Bacterial small subunit ribosomal RNA", at positions 28 to 999 of the family's 1533-position model. The record is from RNAcentral. Lineage: Bacteria; Pseudomonadati; Bacteroidota; Bacteroidia; Bacteroidales; Prevotellaceae.
GAUGAACGCUAGCUAUAGGCUUAACACAUGCAAGUCGAGGGGAAACGGCAUUAUGUGCUUGCACAUUUUGGACGUCGACCGGCGCACGGGUGAGUAUCGCGUAUCCAACCUUCCCUCCACUCGGGGAUACCCCGUUGAAAGACGGCCUAAUACCCGAUGUUGUCCACAUAUGGCAUCUGACGUGGACCAAAGAUUCAUCGGUGGAGGAUGGGGAUGCGUCUGAUUAGCUUGUUGGUGCGGGUAACGGCCCACCAAGGCUACGAUCAGUAGGGGUUCUGAGAGGAAGGUCCCCCACAUUGGAACUGAGACACGGUCCAAACUCCUACGGGAGGCAGCAGUGAGGAAUAUUGGUCAAUGGACGGAAGUCUGAACCAGCCAAGUAGCGUGCAGGAUUGACGGCCCUAUGGGUUGUAAACUGCUUUUGUUGGGGAGUAAAGUGAGGCACGCGUGCCUUUUUGCAUUUACCCUUCGAAUAAGGACCGGCUAAUUCCGUGCCAGCAGCCGCGGUAAUACGGAAGGUCCAGGCGUUAUCCGGAUUUAUUGGGUUUAAAGGGAGUGUAGGCGGUCUGUUAAGCGUGUUGUGAAAUUUAGGUGCUCAACAUCUACCUUGCAGCGCGAACUGGCGGACUUGAGUGCACGCAACGUAUGCGGAAUUCAUGGUGUAGCGGUGAAAUGCUUAGAUAUCAUGACGAACUCCGAUUGCGAAGGCAGCGUACGGGAGUGUUACUGACGCUUAAGCUCGAAGGUGCGGGUAUCGAACAGGAUUAGAUACCCUGGUAGUCCGCACGGUAAACGAUGGAUGCCCGCUGUUAGCGCCUGGCGUUAGCGGCUAAGCGAAAGCAUUAAGCAUCCCACCUGGGGAGUACGCCGGCAACGGUGAAACUCAAAGGAAUUGACGGGGGCCCGCACAAGCGGAGGAACAUGUGGUUUAAUUCGAUGAUACGCGAGGGAACCUUACCCCGGGCUUGAAAUUGCAGACGCAGG